UACAGAGGUGGCAAGCGUUGUUCGGAAUUACUGGGCGUAAAGGGCGCGUAGGCGGCCCACUAAGUCAGACGUGAAAUCCCCCGGCUUAACCUGGGAACUGCGUCUGAUACUGGAGGGCUUGUGUAUGGGAGAGGGAUGUAGAAUUCCAGGUGUAGCGGUGAAAUGCGUAGAUAUCUGGAGGAACACCGGUGGCGAAGGCGGCAUCCUGGACCAACACUGACGCUGAGUGAGCGAAAGCCAGGGGAGCAAACGGG
This 254-nucleotide ribosomal RNA is filed under the name uncultured bacterium. RNAcentral's name for it is "partial 16S ribosomal RNA". It matches the Rfam family "Bacterial small subunit ribosomal RNA", at positions 524 to 776 of the family's 1533-position model. The record is from RNAcentral.